This 253-nucleotide ribosomal RNA is filed under the name uncultured bacterium. RNAcentral describes it as "partial 16S ribosomal RNA". It matches the Rfam family "Bacterial small subunit ribosomal RNA", at positions 524 to 776 of the family's 1533-position model. The record is from RNAcentral.
UACGGAAGGGGCUAGCGUAGUUCGGAAUUACUGGGCGUAAAGAGCGCGUAGGCGGCUUACCAAGUUGGGGGUGAAAUCCCGGAGCUCAACUCCGGAACUGCCUUCAAAACUGGUAGGCUCGAGUCCGGAAGAGGGGCGUGGAAUUCCCAGUGUAGAGGUGAAAUUCGUAGAUAUUGGGAAGAAUACCGGUGGCGAAGGCGGCGCCCUGGUCCGGUACUGACGCUGCGGAGCGAAAGCGUGGGGAGCAAACAGG